This 284-nucleotide ribosomal RNA is filed under the name uncultured bacterium. RNAcentral's name for it is "partial 16S ribosomal RNA". It matches the Rfam family "Bacterial small subunit ribosomal RNA", at positions 28 to 303 of the family's 1533-position model. The record is from RNAcentral.
GAUGAACGCUAGCGGCAGGCCUAACACAUGCAAGUCGAGGGGCAGCGGGGAAAAGCUUGCUUUUCCGCCGGCGACCGGCGCACGGGUGCGCACCGCGUAUGGAACCUGCCUUGUACAGGGGAAUAGCCUUUGGAAACGAAGAUUAAUGCCCCAUGGUACCACGACCCGGCAUCGGGAUGUGGUUAAAGCCCUCGGGCGGUACAAGAUGGCCAUGCGUCCCAUUAGCUUGUUGGUAAGGUAACGGCUUACCAAGGCUACGAUGGGUAGGGGCCCUGAGAGGGGGA